UGGGGAAUAUUGGGCAAUGGAGGAAACUCUGACCCAGCAAUGCCGCGUGAAUGAAGAAGGUCUUCGGAUUGUAAAGUUCUUUAGUCAGGGAAGAAUAAAAUGACGGUACCUGAAGAAUAAGCUCCGGCUAACUACGUGCCAGCAGCCGCGGUAAUACGUAGGGAGCAAGCGUUGUUCGGAAUGACUGGGCGUAAAGGGUGCGUAGGCGGUUAUACAAGUUAGAAGUGAAAUACCCAGGGCUUAACUCGGGUGCUGCUUCUAAAACUGUAAGACUUGAGUGCAGUAGAGGUUAGUGGAAUUCCU
Molecule: ribosomal RNA, 303 nt
Filed under: uncultured bacterium
Lineage: Bacteria
Description: bacterial SSU rRNA
Rfam family: Bacterial small subunit ribosomal RNA
Source: RNAcentral